RNAcentral lists this long non-coding RNA (1381 nucleotides) under Marmota monax (woodchuck). Lineage: Eukaryota; Metazoa; Chordata; Mammalia; Rodentia; Sciuridae. The record is from RNAcentral.
AAGGCCACUUGAGGGAAAGCCGCUCCCAGGGAGGCUCUAGCGCGUUCCGGCAGCAGGCGCCUGGUCAGCCACCUGGUCAGCGACCAUUUCCACCCAGCACACCCGAGUGAGUGGUCCAGCCACGGCCCUCAGACCUGGGAUUUUCCUUGCAACCUCUUUCUCUCCAGGGGAACCUCUCUACCUCCGGGGUCUGCUUCUGUAGGCAGUGAGUGCCCAGCCGGACCCCAGAGGGCCAUGCGGUUCCAAAAGCAGCCCAGUCUUCAGGCCUUGGGCUUCAAAAAUGUGGAACAGACACUGACCAUCCAACCGCUCGUCGGCCUAAGAAGCACAGUCUUCACCAGAGACCUAGAACCGCCCGCGGUCUGCCCUGGUGCGCUCCCCGAGAGCGCGGCUACGCAGUCAGGACGUGGAAGUGGCUCUGGCCACAGCCCUGCACCCAUCACACCAGCCUGGACGGGUGGUGGGCGACCCGUGCACCUCCAUCCGCCAGGCUCUGCGCAGCCCCGAGCUCCAGGGGCAGCCCUGGGUGUGCCCGCCGGGUUCUGGGACACUGCCCUCUCCCGCCUCGGGCACCCUGGCCGAGCCCCUUGGGAGCGAUGCUGGGCCAGGGGGCCUCCCCGCCUCACUGUCCCUCGUUGCUCCUGCUCUUCACCGGGACUCGCUGUCCACUGUCACCACUUGCCUGGACACUUUCCUGCCUGACGCCUCCUUCGCCCUCUCACCCCGACUCUGUUGGCUUCACGGUGUCUCUGUCUCAGAAAUUGUCACAUUCUUUUCCUCUUCUUUGGAGACAGGGUCAUGCCAAGUUGCCCAGCCUGGCCGCAACCAUGUCACAUGCCAUCCUCCUGCCUCAGCCUCCCAAGGAGCUGGGAUGACAGGUGUGGCCACCACGCCCGACUUCAAAUGAUUAGAAAAACAAAACAGAACAGAACCUUAUUUGUGGAAGACACCAAACCCGCGCAGCCACGGCUUCCCCCACUACUCCUGGUGACAGGGUGUCCCUGCUGUGUCCUUGGAGUUGCUGGGGACAGGGCAGUAGCAGCAGCCAGGGUCUUCGGCAUCCGGCAGGGCCCGGCCAGCUGGCUCUUGAAUGGACAGUGGAAGAGAGGACGUGGCAGGUGGGCCCGGGAGGAAUCCGUCCCCUGUGCCCCUGACCAGCGUGGCCUGGGACCCCACAGGGAUGUGCCAUGCCAGGGAUCACGUCACACAGACCCCCAGCAUGGCGGGAUGCCACUGCUGCAGCUGAGAUCAUCUGUCACUCCCCCGCAUCGCCCGGGUGGGGGGGGUCUCAGAGAAGACCCGACACACAGCUCUCCCCUUCAGGUCUGGGCUGACUUCUCUGUGGGCACAGUGACAAAGCCCUGAGACACUGCUGGAGUGG